Molecule: long non-coding RNA, 707 nt
Filed under: Marmota monax (woodchuck)
Lineage: Eukaryota; Metazoa; Chordata; Mammalia; Rodentia; Sciuridae
Source: RNAcentral
UUUUUUGGUACCAGGGAUUGAAUACAAGGGUGCUUAACCACUGAGCCACAUCCCCAGCCCUUUUUUACAUUUUAUUUAGAGACAGGGUCUUGCUGAGUUGCUUUAGGGUCUCACUACAUUGCUCAGGCUGGCUUUGAACUUGCAAUCCUCCUGUUUCAGCCUCCCCAGCUGCUGGGAUUACAGGUGUGUGCCAUUGUGCCUGGGUGGUCAAAUGAUUUUUUGACAAAAGCUAAGACCAAUUGGUGGGGAAAAGACAGUCUUUUCAAAUUAUGGUACAGGGAAAGCUGGAUGUGUGUAUGCAAAAGAACAAAGGUCCUCACCUAACGCCAUAUACAAAAAUGAACUGAAACUAGAUCCAAGAGCUAAAUAUAAAUCCAUAGCCAGUACAACUCUUAGGAAAAAAAGUUCGUAGGACAAAACUUCAUGUCAUUGAAUCGGUAGUCAUUUUUUUAGCUAUUGUACCAAAGGUACAGGCAACAAAGGAAAAGUUAGACAAGGGAUUAAUAUCCUGGAUAUGUAGAGUACUUCUAAAACUCAACAAAGUCCUUACACAAAAAUGGGCAAAGGACUUCAAUAGAUAUUUCUUCAAAGAAGAUAGACCAAUGGCCAAUAAGCACAUGAGAAAAAUGUUCAACAUCAUUAAGGACAUGCAAAUCAAAAUCCCAAUGACAUGUACCUCACCUAUUAGGGUGGCUACUGUCAAAAAA